RNAcentral lists this ribosomal RNA (537 nucleotides) under Talicada nyseus. RNAcentral's name for it is "partial 16S ribosomal RNA". It matches the Rfam family "Bacterial large subunit ribosomal RNA", at positions 1799 to 2607 of the family's 2925-position model. The record is from RNAcentral. Lineage: Eukaryota; Metazoa; Arthropoda; Insecta; Lepidoptera; Lycaenidae.
CCUGUUUUACAAAAACAUGUCUUUUUGUAUUUAAUUUAAAGUCUAAUCUGCCCACUGAUUUUUAAUUAAAGGGCUGCAGUAAUUUGACUGUACAAAGGUAGCAUAAUCAUUAGUCUUUUAAUUGAAGACUUGUAUGAAAGAUUUGAUGAGAUAUAAACUGUCUCUUUAUUACAAUUAAAAUUUAAUUUUUUAGUUAAAAAGCUAAAAUAUUUUUAAAAGACGAGAAGACCCUAUAGAGUUUUAUAGUUUUUAUUAUAAAAUAUUUAUAUAAAAUUUUAAUGUUAUAUUAUAAAAAUUAUUUUGUUGGGGAGAUAAAAAAAUUAAAUAAACUUUUUUAAAUAUUUUCAUGAAUAAUUGAGUAAUUGAUCCAUAUUUAUUGAUUAAAAGAAAAAAUUACCUUAGGGAUAACAGCGUAAUAUUUUUUUUUAGUACAAAUAAGAAAAAAAGUUUGCGACCUCGAUGUUGGAUUAAGAUAAAAUUUAAAUGUAAAAGUUUAAAAUUUUGAUCUGUUCGAUCAUUAAAAUCUUACAUGAUCUG